CGGGUGUAGUUAAGUGGUAUAACAACAGCCUUCCAAGCUGUGGUCGGGAGUUCGAUUCUCCCCACCCGC
RNAcentral lists this transfer RNA (69 nucleotides) under marine eukaryotic metagenome. It matches the Rfam family "tRNA". Rfam says of the family: Transfer RNA (tRNA) molecules are approximately 80 nucleotides in length. Their secondary structure includes four short double-helical elements and three loops (D, anti-codon, and T loops). The record is from RNAcentral.